This 498-nucleotide ribosomal RNA is filed under the name uncultured bacterium. RNAcentral describes it as "partial 16S ribosomal RNA". It matches the Rfam family "Bacterial small subunit ribosomal RNA", at positions 28 to 507 of the family's 1533-position model. The record is from RNAcentral.
GACGAACGCUGGCGGCGUGCCUAAUACAUGCAAGUCGAACGAGAGCGACCGGUGCUUGCACUGGUCAAUCUAGUGGCGAACGGGUGAGUAACACGUGUGUAACCUGCCCAUCAGAGGGGGAUAACAUCCGGAAACGGAUGCUAAAACCGCAUAGGUCUUCGAGCCGCAUGGCUUGAAGAGGAAAAGAGGCGCAAGCUUCUGCUGAUGGAUGGACCCGCGGUGCAUUAGCUAGUUGGUGAGGUAACGGCUCACCAAGGCCGUGAUGCAUAGCCGACCUGAGAGGGUGAUCGGCCACAUUGGGACUGAGACACGGCCCAAACUCCUACGGGAGGCAGCAGUAGGGAAUCUUCCGCAAUGGACGCAAGUCUGACGGAGCAACGCCGCGUGAGUGAAGAAGGUUUUCGGAUCGUAAAACUCUGUUGUUAGAGAAGAACAAGUGCUAGAGUAACUGUUAGCGCCUUGACGGUAUCUAACCAGAAAGCCACGGCUAACUACGUG